AAGUAGAACGCUGAAGAGGGGAGCUUGCUCUUCUUGGAUGAGUUGCGAACGGGUGAGUAACGCGUAGGUAACCUGCCUUGUAGCGGGGGAUAACUAUUGGAAACGAUAGCUAAUACCGCAUAACAAUGGGUGACACAUGUCAUUUAUUUGAAAGGGGCAAUUGCUCCACUACAAGAUGGACCUGCGUUGUAUUAGCUAGUAGGUGAGGUAACGGCUCACCUAGGCGACGAUACAUAGCCGACCUGAGAGGGUGAUCGGCCACACUGGGACUGAGACACGGCCCAGACUCCUACGGGAGGCGGCAGUAGGGAAUCUUCGGCAAUGGGGGCAACCCUGACCGAGCAACGCCGCGUGAGUGAAGAAGGUUUUCGGAUCGUAAAGCUCUGUUGUAAGUCAAGAACGAGUGUGAGAGUGGAAAGUUCACACUGUGACGGUAGCUUACCAGAAAGGGACGGCUAACUACGUGCCAGCAGCCGCGGUAAUACGUAGGUCCCGAGCGUUGUCCGGAUUUAUUGGGCGUAAAGCGAGCGCAGGCGGUUUGAUAAGUCUGAAGUUAAAGGCUGUGGCUCAACCAUAGUUCGCUUUGGAAACUGUCAAACUUGAGUGCAGAAGGGGAGAGUGGAAUUCCUAGUGUAGCGGUGAAAUGCGUAGAUAUUAGGAGGAACACCAGUGGCGAAGGCGGCUUACUGGACGAUAACUGACGCUGAGGCUCGAAAGCGUGGGGAGC
RNAcentral lists this ribosomal RNA (727 nucleotides) under uncultured Bacilli bacterium. RNAcentral's name for it is "bacterial SSU rRNA". It matches the Rfam family "Bacterial small subunit ribosomal RNA", at positions 59 to 769 of the family's 1533-position model. The record is from RNAcentral. Lineage: Bacteria; Bacillati; Bacillota; Bacilli.